GUGAGAGAAAGAGUAACAGUGUAAUCAACCCACCUGGAUCUGGGAGUGAACGUGAAAAUAUCGUACUAUAAUGGCAAAAAGGAUACAGGGAUAAUAAAUUGUCUUGAUAUAUGGUCAGGCUAGUGAACUGUGAUACCGUAUCUCCAAAUUCAAACUGGAUUUGCAGUAGAUCAGAUAAACUUGAUGUAUGCUGCUUGCUGCCUCUUCAUGUGUAUAUUAGAGUUUCCUGUUUACAAGCACACAUCCUACUUUUACACAAAUGAUAGAUUUGAAAUAUUGAUACAACCCAAUAUUGAAAAUGGUUGUUUUUCAGAGUAAGAGUCAAAAUACAGUACAAAAUACAAAA
Tachysurus fulvidraco (yellow catfish) is the source of this 346-nucleotide long non-coding RNA. RefSeq lists it as uncharacterized. NCBI's taxonomy places the organism in Eukaryota, Metazoa, Chordata, Actinopteri, Siluriformes, Bagridae. The transcript is spliced from 3 exons. The record is from RefSeq and is a predicted model, not a curated record.